GAAACUAAUUCAGAGGUGACGAAGAAGAAGAAGAAGAUGAGCUGAACGGAUAAGGCA
Molecule: small RNA, 57 nt
Filed under: Arabidopsis thaliana (thale cress)
Lineage: Eukaryota; Viridiplantae; Streptophyta; Magnoliopsida; Brassicales; Brassicaceae
Description: ATSL248360
Source: RNAcentral